CAGUAGCCACGGGAAAACGGAGGGGGCUAGCGUUGUUCGGAAUUACUGGGCGUAAAGCGCACGUAGGCGGCUUGGUAAGUUAGAGGUGAAAGCCUGGAGCUCAACUCCAGAAUUGCCUUUAAGACUGCCGAGCUAGCAGGUGAGAGAGGUAAGUGGAAUUCCGAGUGUAGAGGUGAAAUUCGUAGAUAUUCGCAAGGACACCAGUGGCGAAGGCGGCUCACUGGCCCGAUACUGACGCUGAGGCACGAAAGCGUGGGGAGCAAACAGGAUUAGAUACCCGAGUAGUCCCUGUCUCUUAUAC
RNAcentral lists this ribosomal RNA (301 nucleotides) under uncultured bacterium. RNAcentral's name for it is "partial 16S ribosomal RNA". It matches the Rfam family "Bacterial small subunit ribosomal RNA", at positions 509 to 807 of the family's 1533-position model. The record is from RNAcentral.